Molecule: ribosomal RNA, 484 nt
Filed under: uncultured bacterium
Lineage: Bacteria
Description: partial 16S ribosomal RNA
Rfam family: Bacterial small subunit ribosomal RNA
Source: RNAcentral
AUUGAACGCUGGCGGCAGGCCUAACACAUGCAAGUCGAGCGGAUGCUGGGAGCUUGCUCCUGGACUCAGCGGCGGACGGGUGAGUACUGCCUAGGAAUCUGCCUGGUAGUGGGGGAUAACGUCCGGAAACGGGCGCUAAUACUGCAUACGUACUGUGGGCGAAAGUGGGGGAUCUUCGGAUCUCACGCUUACAGAUUAGGCUAGAUCGGUUUAACUAGUUGGAGGGGUAACGGCCUUCAAAGGAUGCUAUGCGAAACUGGUCUGAAGGGAUGAUCAGUCACACUGGAUCAGAGACACGGUCCAGACUCCUACGCGGAGCAACAGUGGAGAAUAUUAGACGAUGGACGAGUGCCUAAUCCAGGCAUGCCGCGGGAGUGAAGAAGGUCUUCGGAUGGGAAAGCGCUGAAAGUUGGAAGGAAGUACAGUAAGUUAAUACCUGACUGUAUUGACAGUACCAACAGAAUAAGCACCGGCUAACUUCGUG